This 642-nucleotide ribosomal RNA is filed under the name uncultured bacterium. RNAcentral describes it as "bacterial SSU rRNA". The stretch from base 1 to 545 matches the Rfam family "Bacterial small subunit ribosomal RNA", at positions 338 to 873 of the family's 1533-position model. The record is from RNAcentral.
CCUACGGGAGGCAGCAGUGGGGAAUUUUGGACAAUGGGCGCAAGCCUGAUCCAGCCAUGCCGCGUGCGGGAAGAAGGCCUUCGGGUUGUAAACCGCUUUUGUCAGGGAAGAAAAGGUUCUGGUUAAUACCUGGGACUCAUGACGGUACCUGAAGAAUAAGCACCGGCUAACUACGUGCCAGCAGCCGCGGUAAUACGUAGGGUGCAAGCGUUAAUCGGAAUUACUGGGCGUAAAGCGUGCGCAGGCGGUUAUGCAAGACAGAGGUGAAAUCCCCGGGCUCAACCUGGGAACUGCCUUUGUGACUGCAUAGCUAGAGUACGGUAGAGGGGGAUGGAAUUCCGCGUGUAGCAGUGAAAUGCGUAGAUAUGCGGAGGAACACCGAUGGCGAAGGCAAUCCCCUGGACCUGUACUGACGCUCAUGCACGAAAGCGUGGGGAGCAAACAGGAUUAGAUACCCUGGUAGUCCACGCCCUAAACGAUGUCAACUGGUUGUUGGGAGGGUUUCUUCUUCAGUACGUAAGUGUACGUACGUGAGUUAGUACGCCUCGGGAGGUACGGCCGGCCGAAGGUUAGGUAAACGUACCGAAAUAGAAGUUAGUAGGACCGUGAGAGUAGACGACGACGACGACGAGGAGGAGGAGG